Molecule: non-coding RNA, 1065 nt
Organism: Paramuricea clavata
Lineage: Eukaryota; Metazoa; Cnidaria; Anthozoa; Malacalcyonacea; Plexauridae
Source: the annotation of a GenBank genome assembly
GGCCUUUUAUGCGAUAAGUACCCUGCCUUUGAUCACGAGUCUACAGGCCGCAUCUACCGUGAAGCAGUGUUGGUUCGCAGACGAUGCGUGUGGAGCUGGUCUUGUGACACAAAUCAAAGAUUGGUGGGAUGCAUUGAAUACUCUUGGUCCAAACUUGGGAUAUUUUCCGAAAGACGAGAAAUGCUGGAUUAUUGUUAAGCCCGAAAAGGAAGAAAGUGUGAGAGAAGUCUUCCAUGGAACGGAAAUCAAUGUAACAGUGCAUGGGCAGAAACAUCUGGGAGCAGCGCUAGCUUCACGAGAGUAUCUGGAGGAAUAUGUUAAUGAGAAGGUCUCUAAUUGGGUCAACGAAGUAACAGAAUUAGCCGAAUUUGCACUGUCCCAACCACAAGCGUCCUAUGCCGCAUACACAUUUGGUUUGAAACAUCGUUGGACCUACUUCCUAAGAACCCUGCCAGACAUCCAGGACCUACUAGAGCCACUCGAAAAGGCAAUAUCGCAGAUUCUCAUACCCGCUAUCACAGAUCACCAUUGCAAUUCACUCGAUCGGGACAUUCUAACACUUCCAGCACGUCUGGGUGGCCUGGGCUUGAAAAUCCAAGUCAUGGGGCAGAACGUCAGUAUGUGUCGUCAAAAAGAGUGACAGCACCCCUUGUUGAUCAGAUUGUAGCGCAGUUACAUCAGCUACCCGACGAGUCGCAUAUAAAAUCAGCGCAACAAGCCAUUAGAAAAGAAAGAGUGCAAGAGUGGGAGGAGGGCAGAACGUAUUAGAGAGAGUGCACCACCAAGAAUUCAGCGUAUAUUAGAUGUGGCUUCGGAAAAAGAAUCAUCUGUGUGGCUCACAGCACUUCCCCUAAAAGAACGGGGAUUCAACUUGAAUAAGAGAGAAUUUCGGGACGCCGUAAAGCUGCGCUAUGAUUGGCCAAUCGACGACAUCCCCUCCAUAUGUGUAUGUGGGGAUACCUUCACGGUUGACCAUGCCAUGAUCUGCAAACGUGGAGGCUUUGCAAUUAUGCGCCACAAUGAGUUAAGAGAUCUGGAAGCGGAACUCCUCAACAUUGUCUGUAG